RNAcentral lists this ribosomal RNA (468 nucleotides) under uncultured bacterium. RNAcentral describes it as "partial 16S ribosomal RNA". It matches the Rfam family "Bacterial small subunit ribosomal RNA", at positions 28 to 507 of the family's 1533-position model. The record is from RNAcentral.
GACGAACGCUGGCGGCGUGCUUAACACAUGCAAGUCGAACGGAAAGGCCCUGCUUUUGUGGGGUGCUCGAGUGGCGAACGGGUGAGUAACACGUGAGUAACCUGCCCUUGACUUUGGGAUAACUUCAGGAAACUGGGGCUAAUACCGGAUAGGAGCUCCUGCUGCAUGGUGGGGGUUGGAAAGUUUCGGCGGUUGGGGAUGGACUCGCGGCUUAUCAGCUUGUUGGUGGGGUAGUGGCUUACCCAGGCUUUGACGGGUAGCCGGCCUGAGUGGGUGACCGGCCACAUUGGGACUGAGAUACGGCCCAGACUCCUACGGGAGGCAGCAGUGGGGAAUAUUGCACAAUGGGCGGAAGCCUGAUGCAGCAACGCCGCGUGCGGGAUGACGGCCUUCGGGUUGUAAACCGCUUUCGCCUGUGACGAAGCGUGAGUGACGGUAAUGGGUAAAGAAGCACCGGCUAACUACGUG